Molecule: transfer RNA, 72 nt
Filed under: Marmota marmota marmota (Alpine marmot)
Lineage: Eukaryota; Metazoa; Chordata; Mammalia; Rodentia; Sciuridae
Also listed under: 1 other name
Rfam family: tRNA
About the family: Transfer RNA (tRNA) molecules are approximately 80 nucleotides in length. Their secondary structure includes four short double-helical elements and three loops (D, anti-codon, and T loops).
Source: Rfam by way of RNAcentral
UGGGUUGUGGCUCAAUGGUAGAGUGCUUGCCUAGCGUGCAUGAGGCACUGGGUUCAAUCCCCAGCACCACAU